AGAUUCCCUAGUAGCGGCGAGCGAAGCGGGAAGAGCUCAAAUUUAUAAUCUGGCACCUUCGGUGUCCGAGUUGUAAUCUCUAGAAAUGUUUUCCGCGUUGGACCGCACACAAGUCUGUUGGAAUACAGCGGCAUAGUGGUGAGACCCCCGUAUAUGGUGCGGACGCCCAGCGCUUUGUGAUACAUUUUCGAAGAGUCGAGUUGUUUGGGAAUU
Molecule: ribosomal RNA, 213 nt
Filed under: uncultured fungus
Lineage: Eukaryota; Fungi
Description: partial 26S ribosomal RNA
Rfam family: Eukaryotic large subunit ribosomal RNA
Source: RNAcentral